UUUCAAGCCACAUUGUCCAAAAACAUACAUUAUACCCAUAAACAUACACAUAACCUAAACAUGCAUUCUAACCCAUAGAUCUUGCAUAAAACUUAUUUAAAACAUAAUAAGAGUUCAAGAUCGACCCUUACCUCUUGAAGAUCGAGAGGAAAACGACCUUGACUCAAAGAUGGGAGGAUUGAGCUCCUUGAACCUCAAAGUACUCAAACGAGCUUAAAACUUGUAAAUCUUCAAAACAAAGUUAUAAACUUGUUAAAAACGUGAAAGAUUGAAGGAAAAUGCUCAAGAUUGGUGAGGGGCGGCGGAGGUUCACCUUGACCGACAACGGGGAAGAAAAAGCUCGCCCGUGCGGACCAAAGAGACCCUUUUAUAGUGGCUGGCCAGGCCACGUUCGGGGGC
RNAcentral lists this long non-coding RNA (399 nucleotides) under Manihot esculenta (cassava). Its description in RNAcentral is "long non-coding RNA (MESC_LNC007883)". The record is from RNAcentral. Lineage: Eukaryota; Viridiplantae; Streptophyta; Magnoliopsida; Malpighiales; Euphorbiaceae.